GGACUGGGGAUGGAACUAGCAUGCGAGUCAUUGUAGUAAUACAAGGCAGACGGCUCAGUAACGCGUAGUCAACCUACCCUAUGGACGGGGAUAACCUCGGGAAACUGAGAAUAAUACCCGAUAGAACAUUAUGCCUGGAAUGGUUUAUGUUUCAAAUAAUUUAUUGCCGUAGGAUGGGACUGCGGCCUAUCAGUUUGUUGGUGAGGUAAUGGCCCACCAAGACUAUUACAGGUACGGGCUCUGAGAGGAGUAGCCCGGAGAUGGGUACUGAGACACGGACCCAGGCCCUAUGGGGCGCAGCAGGCGAGAAAACUUUGCAAUGUGCGAAAGCACGACAAGGUUAAUCCGAGUGGUUUCUGCUAAAGGAACCUUUUGUCAGUCCUAGAAACACUGGUGAAUAAGGGGUGGGCAAGUUCUGGUGUCAGCCGCCGCGGUAAAACCAGCACCUCAAGUGGUCAGGAUGAUUAUUGGGCCUAAAGCAUCCGUAGCCUGCUUUGUAAGUUUUCGGUUAAAUCCAUACGCUCAACGUAUGGGCUGCCGGGAAUACUGCAAAGCUAGGGAGUGGGAGAGGUAGACGGUACUCGGUAGGAAGGGGUAAAAUCCUUUGAUCUAUUGAUGACCACCUGUGGCGAAGGCGGUCUACCAGAACACGUCCGACGGUGAGGGAUGAAAGCUGGGGGAGCAAACCGGAUUAGAUACCCGGGUAGUCCCAGCUGUAAACUAUGCAAACUCAGUGAUGCAUUGGCUUGUGGCCAAUGCAGUGCUGCAGGGAAGCCGUUAAGUUUGCCGCCUGGGAAGUACGUACGCAAGUAUGAAACUUAAAGGAAUUGGCGGGGGAGCACCACAAAGGGGUGAAGCCUGCGGUUCAAUUGGAGUCAACGCCGGGAAUC
RNAcentral lists this ribosomal RNA (890 nucleotides) under uncultured archaeon. RNAcentral's name for it is "bacterial SSU rRNA". It matches the Rfam family "Archaeal small subunit ribosomal RNA", at positions 29 to 926 of the family's 1478-position model. The record is from RNAcentral.